UUGGACACGACAAGUGACUUUCGCUUAUGUUAAAGUGAAGUCGCUCAGUCGUGUCCAACU
This 60-nucleotide microRNA precursor is filed under the name Bos taurus (domestic cattle). RNAcentral describes it as "microRNA bta-mir-12022 precursor". Lineage: Eukaryota; Metazoa; Chordata; Mammalia; Artiodactyla; Bovidae. The record is from miRBase by way of RNAcentral.